Long non-coding RNA from Nothoprocta perdicaria, 204 nucleotides. RefSeq lists it as uncharacterized. The record is from RefSeq and is a predicted model, not a curated record. The transcript is spliced from 3 exons. NCBI's taxonomy places the organism in Eukaryota, Metazoa, Chordata, Aves, Tinamiformes, Tinamidae.
UACUCGGUAGGCCUCGUGGAAAAUAUAUCAGAGAACAUGAAAGUUCAGCGUCACUUCAACCCUGCAAAGAGCCUCUCAAAAGGAAAGAUUGAACAGCAAAUGACUCUUGAACAACUUCAGAGACUGAAUUCUGCAUUUCAGGAGCUAGAAAAGGAUGGCUACAAAUCACUAGAUGUAGAGAAGUUUAAGCAGAUAAUGAAGAAG